Molecule: long non-coding RNA, 316 nt
Filed under: Manihot esculenta (cassava)
Lineage: Eukaryota; Viridiplantae; Streptophyta; Magnoliopsida; Malpighiales; Euphorbiaceae
Description: long non-coding RNA (MESC_LNC010419)
Source: RNAcentral
CUCUACUCUUCGUAUUUGUGAUGUAAACUAUAUAUUUUCAUUUAGGAGCUCUGAAUUUGCGAGCUCAGCUCUUAGCUGAGGAUUUGGGAGAUCAAGUCUCGUACCUUUUUAAUGACAAUUAUCAUGUCAAUUUUUGGCUUUUAGUCCUGCUUUCUGCGCUGUGACUUCGUAUAUUUAUUUCAGAUAAACUGAUUUAGGCUUUGAUUAUAGCCUUUUUUAUCCUUCUAAGGAUAUCUUCAUUUAUGCGUCCUGCUAUGGAGGGAGCUCGGCCGUUCUUUUUGGCCUUCGUAUCUGGAUCCUUUGAGGAUAUAAGUCN